GGAUUAGGGCGAUCUGGCUGCGACAUCUGUCACCCCAUUGAUCGCCAGGGUUGAUUCGGCUGAUCUGGCUGGCUAGGCGGGUGUCCCCUUCCUCCCUCACCGCUCCAUGUGCGUCCCUCCCGAAGCUGCACGCUCGGUCGAAGAGGACGACCUUCCCCGAAUAGAGGAGGACCGGUCUUCGGUCAAGGGUAUACGAGUAGCUGCGCUCCCCUGCUAGAACCUCCAAACAAGCUCUCAAGGUGUUUGUUGUUUUUAAUCCCUCUGCGAGUCACUCACCAUCCUACACUUGACCUUCCGUUAGCAACCUGUA
RNAcentral lists this small nuclear RNA (310 nucleotides) under Microtus ochrogaster (prairie vole). Its description in RNAcentral is "7SK RNA (ENSMOCG00000009535.1)". It matches the Rfam family "7SK RNA". Rfam says of the family: 7SK was discovered as an abundant small nuclear RNA in the mid-70s but a possible function has only recently been suggested. Two independent studies have found that 7SK RNA binds the CDK9/cyclin T complex (known as elongation factor P-TEFb). The record is from RNAcentral. Lineage: Eukaryota; Metazoa; Chordata; Mammalia; Rodentia; Cricetidae.